RNAcentral lists this transfer RNA (72 nucleotides) under Danionella translucida. It matches the Rfam family "tRNA". Rfam says of the family: Transfer RNA (tRNA) molecules are approximately 80 nucleotides in length. Their secondary structure includes four short double-helical elements and three loops (D, anti-codon, and T loops). RNAcentral also lists the same sequence under 1 other name. The record is from Rfam by way of RNAcentral. Lineage: Eukaryota; Metazoa; Chordata; Actinopteri; Cypriniformes; Danionidae.
GGCUCGUUGGUCUAUGGGAAUGAUUCUUGCUUUGGGUGCGAGAGGUCCCGGGUUCAAAUCCCAGACGAGCCC